AUUGCCCUAGUAACGGCGAGUGAAGCGGCAAUAGCUCAAAUUUGAAAUCUGGCUUCCUUGGAAGUCCGAGUUGUAAUUUGCAGAGGGCGCUUUGGCGUCGGUAGCGGUCUAAGUUCCUUGGAACAGGACGUCACAGAGGGUGAGAAUCCCGUACGUGGUCGACUACCUUCACCGUGUAAAGCCCCUUCGACGAGUCGAGUUGUUUGGGAAUGCAGCUCUAAAUGGGAGGUAAAUUUCUUCUAAAGCUAAAUACUGGCCAGAGACCGAUAGCGCACAAGUAGAGUGAUCGAAAGAUGAAAAGCACUUUGGAAAGAGAGUCAAACAGCACGUGAAAUUGUUGAAAGGGAAGCGCUUGCCGCCAGACGUGCCCGUGGUGGUUCUCCUCCGCGGGCAGGCCAGCAUCAGUUUGGGCGAUCGGAUAAAGGCCUCUGUCAUGUAUCUCCCUUCGGGGUGACCUUAUAGGGGAGGCGUAAUGCGAUCAGCCCGGACUGAGGUCCGCGCAUCUGCUAGGAUGCUGGCGUAAUGGCUGUAAGCGGCCCGUCUUGAAACACGGACCAAGGAGUCUAACAUCUAUGCGAGUGUUUGGGUGUCAAGCCCGAGCGCGUAAUGAAAGUGAACGGAGGUGGGAACCCUUUGGGUGCACCAUCGACCGAUCCUGAAGUCUUCGGAUGGAUUUGAGUAAGAGCAUGGCUGUUGGGACCCGAAAGAUGGUGAACUAUGCUUGAAUAGGGUGAAGCCAGAGGAAACUCUGGUGGAGGCUCGCAGCGGUUCUGACGUGCAAAUCGAUCGUCAAAUUUGGGCAUAGGGGCGAAAGACUAAUCGAACUAUCUAGUAGCUGGUUCCUG
This 845-nucleotide ribosomal RNA is filed under the name Dictyosporium digitatum. Its description in RNAcentral is "partial large subunit ribosomal RNA". It matches the Rfam family "Eukaryotic large subunit ribosomal RNA", at positions 74 to 960 of the family's 3401-position model. Lineage: Eukaryota; Fungi; Ascomycota; Dothideomycetes; Pleosporales; Dictyosporiaceae. The record is from RNAcentral.